RNAcentral lists this long non-coding RNA (261 nucleotides) under Lathyrus oleraceus (garden pea). Its description in RNAcentral is "Pisum sativum (pea) long non-coding RNA (PSAT_LNC003903)". The record is from RNAcentral. Lineage: Eukaryota; Viridiplantae; Streptophyta; Magnoliopsida; Fabales; Fabaceae.
CAUAUCUCAGAAUAUGCAAUAUCGACUCAUAAAUUUGAAUAGCUUUUCCUUUUGUAUCAACUACACACAACACAAACUUUUUAAGGUCUUUCGAGUUGUAAUAGGGCUUGGGUUACGAUGUGUUUGUUCUAACAUACCAUUUCCCUUUCUUUUCUUUUUCAGUUUUGUUACUUAGUUCUUUUUUUUUCUUUGUUUUUUUAUACCCAACUGAGUGUUUCUCAUUCGGUGAGUGCUUUUCUCGUUCCAUCAAAUUUCUCUUUU